AUAGAUCGUUAUGUCACAUUAGUUGGUUAGCGCGCAUGAAGAUGACGAAAGAACGGUUAAAUUCAGCUCUUUUCUUUAUUGUCGUUCACCAGACAUUAAUACGCUUAAUCAUCAUCUUCUUCUACUUACAGGAUAUUAAUCAUCAUUUAUGACAGAGCCUGUUAGCAGAAUCUUUAAACGCUUAGCGUGUAAAUAAUUUUAAUAAGAGAAACGAAUACGAUAUGCUGAAAAUAGCUGAAGGCUUUUAGCUGGCACAAAUAAUCUGUCGUUGUGUUGCCUCAUCACGAUCUCCAUUUAAUUUUUUUUUGCCCUCGAUAUUUACUUUCGAUGACAGUCAAUCAACUCUACCUUGGAAUAUUAAUUCAUCUAGGGUUUUUUUAUAAAUUAAUAAAA
Long non-coding RNA from Cotesia glomerata, 393 nucleotides. RefSeq lists it as uncharacterized. The transcript is spliced from 3 exons. NCBI's taxonomy places the organism in Eukaryota, Metazoa, Arthropoda, Insecta, Hymenoptera, Braconidae. The record is from RefSeq and is a predicted model, not a curated record.